Molecule: ribosomal RNA, 189 nt
Filed under: uncultured bacterium
Lineage: Bacteria
Description: partial 16S ribosomal RNA
Rfam family: Bacterial small subunit ribosomal RNA
Source: RNAcentral
UCGCCUGCAUGAAGUCGGAAUUGCUAGUAAUCGUAGGUCAGCAUACUACGGUGAAUACGUUCCCGGGCCUUGUACACACCGCCCGUCAAACCAUGAGAGUUGGCAACACCCGAAGUCGGUAGUCUAACCGCAAGGAGGACGCCGCCGAAGGUGGGGUUGAUGAUUAGGGUUAAGUCGUAACAAGGUACC